AAGAAGAGGGAAGAAAGAAAGAAAAAGGCCCAACUAGACGUAAUAACAGCCCAACCGGCUAGGAAAGAAGAGAGAAGAAAAAAGGGGGGGGGGACAUUAGGCUGCCAGAGCUACACUAGUAACUUGCCGUUGACACACCCGCUAGGAACACUUCCCUCGCCAAGACAAACUAACGAUACCAUGGAAGACCACCAUUGGAGGCCGAAAGCAUCCAGGCAUGCAGCUUGAAAACAACAUCGAGCAUGUAUGACGUGCUAAACAAUGUUCUACCCCUUCUUCCAUUUCAGUCCCUGAUCAUUUAAUAACUCUUCAAUUCAACACCUAACCCGAUCCAACUAAGCCCGGUAAGGGAGAGGAAAGGGGAAAAAAAAUUUGGCUCAACCAGGCAAAAAAAAACCCUAACCUAACCGAACUCGCCUCAAAAAGUGAGGGAGAAGAAGAAAAAAGAAGAGAGAAAGAGAGGGAAAAGGUGGCCAACCCAAACUAGCGACAAACACAUUGGCUCUUUUCAUAUUGAGCAAAUUUCAAAUUGGACAUGACACAAGGUUCAAGGCACGCCCAAUAUAUUCACCACUUUGAAUUCUUUGUUUUACAAGUUAUCAGUCACACUUGAAUUUUCUUCUUACAAGGUUAUUAAAACGAUGCCCACUUGAACUCUCUAAAUUGUCAAUACGAUGCCCACUUGAACUCUCUAAAUUUGAAUACAAUGCCUACCUAAAAGCCUUGUCUCAUAGGUUAACAUGAUGGCAUGAACAACUUGUCCUAACAAGUUGUUUGUGCAGACAUUCACGGUGAAUUAAAUAUUCUUUGAUUCCUACAAGUAGAUGUGCGAACCUACAACCUAUAAUGAAAAUACAGAAAAUACAAGUGAUGCUAUAAUGAAAUUACAGGAAGUACAAGUGAUGCCAGGUAUAUUAAUACCAAUGACCAAAAGGUAUAAAAGAGAACUGCGUAACAUUAUAUAUCCACACAUAUAGAACACAACACAUUCUCCUACAUUUUCAUUUCCCUUCUUCUAUAAAUUAUGCUUAGGCAUUGGAGGGUCCUAUGAAGGACUUGUUUCACAGGAGAAAAUGGAUUAUUAACCCAAGCACAUUUUUUUUUCCAAUCCCAUUAAGCAGCCGUGGAAAGGUCCGUGUGAAGUUUUUCGAACUUCGUCAAUAUACGUUUGCAAAUUAUUUAAUUAUAGGAUAAUAACUGCAUAAUAUCCAGCUCUAUUAACCUUGAUCAAACCACUAAUUCUUUUUCCACUGAAUGAAUAUGAAAAUAACUUAAAUAACACAUUAAUCUUUUGUUUUUUAGCAUAAACUAUUGACUUGUUGGUUUAGCAUCCAUCCUUUAGAAUCAAAAUUAAAAAGUAAAAACAAAACAAUUCCCUGCAAAAGGAUCAAAAGCAAGCAAACCCCCAAAAAUUAAUUAAUCAAAGACAUAGCCAAAACACCAAAAUCCCUUAGGUAAUUAAAUCAUAACCAAUCCCAUCAUUCGAUAUCAUAACAAACAUCAAUUAAAAAAGAACAGGGAAUAAAAAAACUGACCUUGGAGGUCCAGAGAAGAUCACUAGAAGCAACACGGUUCCAGGUACGAGAAACGACGAGACAUAGUGCCAAGCUGCGUGCGUCAAGGUUGUUCAAAACCCUCAACAUCAAGUCCCUACCAAGCACAUCCAAAGGGUCUUGACAAAAGGGACGACCUCGAUCCUCCCUCAUCUUCUUUCUUUUCCUUUUCUUUCCUUUCCUCUCCACUACUAAAGCUAAACCCUCUUCCAUGUCCUUGCUCUGGUUCUCCUAUAAUUCUCGCUCGUUGGUCUGUGCCAUUGAAGAGGAGUGAGACAGAGAAGUGAAGAAAGAAGGAAUGUGAAUCAAGUUUGGCUUUGCAUUUUUUAACGUUUCUUUCCUUCGGCCUUUUUCUUUACUCUGUUGUCGUUUUGUGAGAUUGGGAUUCUGUCUGAAUACAGUGUAACUAGAGUAGAGGAGAUCAUCUUUGGAAGUCUUACGAGUGCGGAUUUAGUUUUAGUUAAGGGUGGAUAAAUUCGGUAAUUAACAUGAAAAAUGCUAAUAAAAAAGGAAAUGAAAUAAAUAUUUUUUUCAGUGAAAUAGUAUAUUUUGUAUGUUAUGAUUAAAAAUUAUGAUAUUUAAUUAAAUAUUUUAAAUAUUAUAGUUUUUAAACACGAUAUUUAUUAUAUAUUAUAGUUGGGAAUUACAAUAAAUUUUUAAUUAAUAUUAAAAAAAAUUAUAAAAUUGUUAAAAUUAGAAUUCCUAAAUAAAAUUUUUAAAAUCUAAAUAUUCAACAGUUAAAGAAGCGACUCCAUGCUAUUUUAAAAAAAAAAUCUCUAGAAAAUCAGUUAAAAAAACGACUCCAUUGCAACCAAGUUAUUUUAAUUUUUAUAAAAUGAAAAUUUAAAACACAAUUAUACAUAAUAUCUAAUAUAAAAAGCAAAAGCUAUUUAAUUAAUAAGAUGAUUUUUUCUUUGUAGUUAAGCGUAAAUCCACAAUAAUAAAUAGUUUCAAAUUUAAUAUUUAAUUUGAAAUUGGUUCAAGGCUGUUGUGUUAUAAAAUUAAUUUGGAUAAAAUAAUUUUAUUAAAAUAAAAUAAUUUCAUUUUUAUAAAACAUUAACUUGAUUAAUCUAAAUUUGAUCGGACAAUUGAAAUAUUAAACAUCAAGCAAUGUCAACUAGGUUUGCCAAGUAAAUUAUUUGUUUGAUUUAACUAAAAACCCAAUAAUUUUAUUUUAUCAAAACGUUGGUGAAAGUUGAAUCCAUUUAAAAACCAACAAAAAAUAGAUAUUGGAGCAUAUGCCAACUUCCAAUCCCUCGUGAUUAUUAUUCUAUCAAAACGUCGCUGGAAUUAUUGUUUUAUGAUCUUGGUUAAUUAAAUUAAACAUUUGUCAAUCUCUAGUCUAAGAAAUAGAGGCAGGUUAACGAGUUCUUUUAUUCCUUUAUUACUUCCUUCACUCAUGGAAGGUAACAAAACGAGUACACGGGGCUCGAAGACGGGCCUAGGCCUAUCACAACGAACAGCUGAAAGACGACACGAAUGCAAUAAAGAGACAGACUAGACACGAAACAAGAGGUCCUGAACACUGAAAAACGCACCACAGUUACCGUUAUUAUCUGUAUCGCCGCUGCGAUCAGGCAGAUGCAGCCAAUAUUGCUUCUCUGCGACGCUUAAAGAAGGUAACCGACCAGCCCCUAUCUGGAAGGUUUUCUUUAAUUAUAGGGGCUUGCUUGAAGUUUUUCAUCCAGGCAUGCAGGCGAGGAAACUUGUGGGCUUCAAAUAUUACUCCUUCCCCUACUACUUCUUCAAUGAGUCCCAACCAAUAAAUAACAGAACCAAAGGCUAUAUCUGCUAUCCCAAUACUGUCUCCACCAAAAAAUUUCUUCUCCCCUAACGCGUGUUCUUCUACGUUGUGCAACAUUUCCAGGGUUUCCUUCCUUGUAUUCUCAAGCUCUUCCCCUUUAGCACGAAACAGUCUCCACACUGAUGUACCCUGAAGCCAGAAUCAACCAUGACAUUAAUCACUGGAAACUAAAUGGAGUGCCAAAGAAAAUUAAGCUUAACAAGUCCAGUUUAAUUUAUAGUAUUGUAUGAAUCAUGAAAUGUACAAUAAUGUCUGCAAGCUGUACCUUAUCUUCGGCAAAUUUGACCCAGAAACGAGCCAGAGCUCUCUCGUAGGGGUCAUUUGGCAGCAAUGGAUUUUGGGGCCACAUCUCAUCGAUGUAUUCGACAAUGAUCAUGGACUCGCAAACUGGCUUAUCGCCAUGGAGAAGCACUGGGAUCUUCUUGUGAACAGGGUUAUACUUGAGAAGCAGCGGACUUUUAUUGGUGAGAUCUUCUUCGAUAAACUCGUAUGGAAUAGCCUUUAAUUUUAGUGCCCAUAUCACUCGGUAAACAAAUGGGCUGGGCAAUGCUCCAAGCAGCUUCACUCUUUCCGCCAUGACUGAGAGGUUUGUGGUGAUUCUUCAUCGUUACCUUCCACGCUCCUUUAUAGUGUUAAUUCAACGGAAGAGUCUCGCUUGGGCAGCAAUUCAACUUUGCCUUUGAAGGAGUUUUCUAGUCCAUAUUGAUGUAUUUGCUUACGUGAUCAUAUUCAUAAACAACUGUAUUUAUAUAAUCUAUUCGCCAAGAUCAGAGAUUGAAGAUGCUAGAACAUGAUCUAAUUAAAUUAAAUAUAUUCUAUUUCUCUUCUCUUUUCUUUAUGCUCAAGUUUAAUCAUGUUUUAAGUUUAAUUAUAUUUUUUCUGGGGAAAAAAGUUUGGAUUUUCCUCUUUCUCUCUUUAUUCUUUUUAAUUAUGUGUGCAAAGAGACAAAACCACGAAGAUAAGAAAUAAAAUAUUAAUUAAAACCAUGUCCGGUAGUGAAUAGUGAUGUGUCGCUUGUUCUACGAAAGUUUCAAUUUCCCGGAACAUACUCGAUGUUGUCGAUGUUGACUAUACAUCAUCUUCUGGAUGUUGCUGCAUGAUAGCCGUCAUGCAUGAUGGUAUAAUGCUAAGAUAUUUUUUUUUUUAUUUUUUUAAUAUAUUGAUAUUAAAAAUAAAUUUUAAAAAAUAAAAAAUAUUAUUUUAAUAUAUUUUAAAAUAAAAAAUAUUUUAAAAAAUAAUCCUUAUUAUAAUAUUAAACAGGCUAUAAUUACAUUGCCAUGCCUCCUGAGUCUUGAUAGCCAAGACAGGCAAACUGAUUGGUUUACAUAAACAAUAUUUGAUUGUGCCGAAAUAAGAUAAACUCUUCUUUGUAUAUGUGUAGCAUUAAUUUGUGAUCGUUUGGUUUUCGUAUAGCACAUCUUAUCAUGAGGCAUUAGGAUGUUUUAGAGUUAAAUUGUUUACAUUUUUAUCAUGUAUUAAAUUCUAUAAUUCAAUUUGAAUUUGAUAAUUUAAAUUCAAUAAACAGUUAAAUUAUUGUAGAAUUCUAUUUGAGAGACAAAAGAACAAACAACUGCCUUUUGAGAAAAUCAAUGUGUGUUUGGUAUUGUGGUAGCUGUUGUGAUUUGAAAAAAAUUGUUUUAUAAAAAGUACUUUUAGUUGGUUUGAUAUUUAUAUAUGUUUGAUUAAAACUGUGAUUAAAAUUGAAGUUGAUUAAAAAAUAGUUUAAUGUAUUUGGUUAAAAAUACUUUUCAAAUUGAGGUUAUAAAAUAAUUAAAAAAGAUAUAUAUUAAUAUUGAUGGUUUUUAAUUUAAAUAUUGUAUAUUUAAAUACUGCUAUUACAUCAUGAAAUAAAUAAUAAUUUAUAUAAAAUAUUUUUUAUUGUUCCAUUAAACUUUCUACAAUUCCAUAAUGUACGAAAUUCAUUCGAUAAGGACUACAGUUUCCAUGGUUUAUUGAGCAUGCAACAACAUCAGGUAAAAUAUUAUCAGGAACAAAAUUGAAAUUGCAAUCAAAUUCUGUAAAUGCUACGUCAUUAUGCGAUAUCCUUCUAAUUUAUGUAGUGUCAUUGCAUAAUGUUAAACAGUAGUUUUUUUUCAAUAAAACACAAUUAAAAAUAAAAAAAAUGGAUUUUUUUUAUUUUACUGGGUCGGACCCGAUUCAAUACAUUUAGGUUUGUACCGGACCGGUCCGGCCGAAACAGUGCUCCACCGUUCACUUUUGUAAAGAAACUUGAAUGAGUUAUCUGCCAUGAUUAAUUCACCUACAACUCUUGAUCAUGUAUAGGCAUCCACCUCUUCCAGCUGUUGCAGAUGAUUAAAGUUUGAGAGAGGAAAGGCACCAUUCCUUGUGAAGCAGAUCGUGGAGCUGGAUCGCUCCGCCCCUAGUCAUCUUCACUAUCUCGAUCUUCAAACAAGUCUUCGGCUGGGUCAUACACAAUCAUGUCAGGGAAAAGCUCCAGGAAGUCAUCUUUUACAUGCUCUAUGUAAUGUUUGGGAAAGACAAGCUACAACAUAUAGAAUUUGCAAUUCCAAACACAAAAGAUGAAUAAUUGAGCCGGAUUUUGAAAAAUGAGGUUAGCUGCUGUUGGAAAGCAUAGUUUUCCAAUUUUUUAUCAGCCACAGGUGCAGCCACAAUUACUCUGGGUCCCACCAAAAUAAAAUCUUUUUUUCUUUUUAUUUUUGCAUAACCAAACACAUAGAAACUAUGGUUUAUUUGAACCUCCGGUACAGCCGCAUUACCAAACGGCACCCGCUGUUGUGUGGUUGCGGUUGUUUUUUAAAGUGUUUUUCACUUAGAAAUAUAUCAAGAUAAUAUUUUUUUUUAUUUUUUUAAAAUUAUUUUUGACACCAGCGCAUCAAAAUGAUCUAAAAACAUAAAAAAAAUAUUAAUUUGAAGUAAGAAAAAAAAUAAAAAAAAAUUAAUUUUUUUUAUAAGCGCUUUUGAAAUAUAAAAACAAAGAGAGUUGUGCGACAGAAGAGAAAAGAAGAGGGAAGAAAGAAAGAAAAAUGCCCAACUAGACGUAAUAACAGCCCAACCGGCUAGGAAAGAAGAGAGAAGAAAAAAGAGGGGGGGGGACAAUAGGCUGCCAGAGCUACACUAGUAACUUGUCGUUGACACACCCGCUAGGAACACUUCCCUCGCCAAGACAAACUAACGAUACCAUGGAAGACCACCAUUGGAGGCCGAAAGCAUCCAGGCAUGCAGCUUGAAAACGACAUCGAGCAUGUAUGACGUGCUAAACAAUGUUCUACCCCUUCUUCCAUUUCAGUCCCUGAUCAUUUAAUAACUCUUCAAUUCAACACCUAACCCGAUCCAACUAAGCCCGGUAAGGGAGAGGAAAGGGGAAAAUAAAUUUGGCUCAACUGGGAAAAAAAACCCUAACCCAACCGAACUCGCCUCAAAAAGUGAGGGAGAAGAAGAAAAGAGAAAGAGAGGGAAAAGGUGGCCAACCCAAACUGACGACAAACACAUUGGCUCUUUUCAUAUUGAGCAAAUUUCAAAUUGGACAUGACACAUGCCCAAUAUACUCACCACUUUGAAUUCUCUAUUUUACAAGUUAUCAGUCACACUUGAAUUUUCUUCUUACAAGGUUAUGAAUACGAUGCCCACUUGAACUCUCUAAAUUGUCAAUACAAUGCCUACCUAAAAGCCUUGUCUCACAAGUUAACAUGAUGGCAUGAACAACUUGUCCUAACAAGUUGUUCGUGCAGAUAUUCACGGUGAAUUAAAUAUUCUUUGAUUCCUACAAGUAGGUGUGCGAACCUACAACCUAUAAUGAAAAUACAGAAAAUACAAGUGAUGCUAUAAUGAAAAUACAGAAAAUACAAGUGAUGCUAUAAUGAAAAUACAGAAAAUACAAGUGAUGCCAGGUAUAUUAAUACCAAUGACCAACCACACAUAUAGAACACAGCACAUUCUCCUACAUUUUCAUUUCCCUUCUUCUAUAAAUUAUGCUUAGGCAUUGGAGGGUCCUAUGAAGGACUUGUUUCACAGGAGAAAAUGGAUUAUUAACCCAAGCACAUUUUUUUUUCCAAUCCCAUUAAGCAGCCAUGGAAAGGUCCGUGUGAAGUCUUUCGAACUUCGUCAAUAUAUGUUUGGAAAUUAUUUAAUUAUAGGAUAAUAACUGCAUAACAUCCAGCUCUAUUAACCUUGAUCAAACCACAAAUUCUUUUUCCACUGAAUGAAUAUGAAAAUAACUUAAAUAAAACAUUAAUCUUUUGUUUUUUAGCAUAAACUAUUGACUUGUUGGUUUAGCAUCCAUCCUUUAGAAUCAAAAUUAAAAAGUAAAAACAAAACAAUUCCCUGCAAAAGGAUCAAAAGCAAGCAAACACCCAAAAAAUAAUUAAUCAAAGACAUAGCCAAAACACCAAAAUCCCUUAGGUAAUUAAAUCAUAACCAAUCCCAUCAUCCGGUAUCAUAACAAACAUCAAUUAAAAAAGAAAAGGGAAUAAAAAAACUGACCUUGGAGGUCCAAAGAAGAUCACUAGAAGCAACACGGUUCCAGGUACGAGAAACGACGAGACAUAGUGCCAAGCUGCGUGCGUCAAAGUUGUUUAAAACCCUCAACAUCAAGUCCCUACCAAGCCCAUCCAAAGGGUCUUGACAAAAGGGACGACCUCGAUCCUCCCUCAUCUUCUUUCUUUUCCUUUUCUUU
Molecule: long non-coding RNA, 8011 nt
Filed under: Populus trichocarpa (black cottonwood)
Lineage: Eukaryota; Viridiplantae; Streptophyta; Magnoliopsida; Malpighiales; Salicaceae
Description: long non-coding RNA (PTRI_LNC002471)
Source: RNAcentral